Non-coding RNA from Dermacentor albipictus, 326 nucleotides. The record is from RefSeq and is a predicted model, not a curated record. Lineage: Eukaryota; Metazoa; Arthropoda; Arachnida; Ixodida; Ixodidae.
UUUGCAGCGAUCCUACUGGUUGCCAUUGUUAUCGGUACAACGGUCGACCAUUUCGUGGGCCUACAGUCCGAGUUCAAGAAAAAACGCGGUCUCCUGUUCCAAGUCGCCAUGGCCUUCUCGGCGAAAUCCAACACCCGGAUGUUACUCACUGUAGCCAGCAAAGAUCAAGUUGACCAGCACUCUCUGCAAUUCUUGCAUGGCGUGCGAUGCUUAACCAUUAUGCACAUUGUGUUCGGACACGUCAUCGUGGUUAGGACGGAUACUUUCUCACGACUGCUGAAUUUAUUGAUUAUUACAACAGAGUGGCCGAAGAUGAUAAUAUCCGC